This is a long non-coding RNA of Hyposmocoma kahamanoa, 858 nucleotides long. RefSeq lists it as uncharacterized. The transcript has 3 exons. The record is from RefSeq and is a predicted model, not a curated record. Lineage: Eukaryota; Metazoa; Arthropoda; Insecta; Lepidoptera; Cosmopterigidae.
GGAUCAUGUAGAAGAACACUACCAGAAAAUAUAUGUCUUAUAAUUAUGUCUAAUAUGUCUACAAGAGAACCAAACUGUAAACCUAUCCAAGAGAAGCUGUUCCCUAAAAUUAUAGCGGUGUAUAUUUGAAGAUUCGGAAGAAAACUUUAUUACUGUGUACUUAUUAUUAUUGCCAGCUCCAAGAAAGCUGAGAAAGCAAAUUUUCCAAGUUUUAUUCGUACUUAAAUUUUAUUUUCAGUUAUGGUUAUUUGCAUGCUGAAGUACACCUGAAACACCUGAACGGCUCCUGUUCAACAGUUGGUUUAGAGAAUUAUCAGCAAUACGAAUACGCUCGAAACCAUGCUAAUUUAGCUCACUUGCACCGACAAACCACAAUACGAAAAGAAUUAUAAAAAAAAUACUUCUUUUUAUGACCGUAAAUUUGGAUUGCCUCAAUGGUUUGGAAAAGGCAGAAACCUGUGAUUUCCUCACGAACUAGAACACAAAUUCAGCGUUCAUACAACACUGAUACCUGGCGUAAAUCCAUGCGUCGUUUAAUAUUCCGAAUGUUUAAUAAAAAGGGAAAGCCAAUGGAAGAUCAAGCUACAUAUUUCUCUAAUUUAGAGAAACCUAUACACCUGAAGGAUCGCGGAGUGUUUAAGAAAUAUUUCUUUAGAUGACUCGUUUGGCUUAUGAGUUCCUUUUGCCGCUUUAAUUUAAGCGAUGACUAUAUAUAUAAGGAUAUUAAGCACCACUAAAGAACAAUAAGACAAAGCAAUAUUCCUACCUACGAAAUUGAAGGUUAUAGAAACGACAUAUGACUUCAUAAUAAAAAUUUUUCCUACGAAGUAGAGUUGACUUCGUUUAUUUAGUCCACGG